Molecule: ribosomal RNA, 760 nt
Filed under: uncultured cyanobacterium
Lineage: Bacteria; Bacillati; Cyanobacteriota
Description: bacterial SSU rRNA
Rfam family: Bacterial small subunit ribosomal RNA
Source: RNAcentral
ACGCUGGCGGCGUGCCUAACACAUGCAAGUCGAACGGGAAUCUUCGGAUUCUAGUGGCGGACGGGUGAGUAACGCGUAAGAAUCUAACUUCAGGACGGGGACAACAGUUGGAAACGACUGCUAAUACCCGAUGUGCCGAAAGGUGAAACCUAAUUGGCCUGAAGAAGAGCUUGCGUCUGAUUAGCUAGUUGGUGGGGUAAAGGCCUACCAAGGCGACGAUCAGUAGCUGGUCUGAGAGGAUGAGCAGCCACACUGGGACUGAGACACGGCCCAGACUCCUACGGGAGGCAGCAGUGGGGAAUUUUCCGCAAUGGGCGAAAGCCUGACGGAGCAACGCCGCGUGAGGGAGGAAGGUCUUUGGAUUGUAAACCUCUUUUCUCAAGGAAGAAGUUCUGACGGUACUUGAGGAAUCAGCCUCGGCUAACUCCGUGCCAGCAGCCGCGGUAAUACGGGGGAGGCAAGCGUUAUCCGGAAUUAUUGGGCGUAAAGCGUCCGCAGGUGGUCAGCCAAGUCUGCCGUCAAAUCAGGUUGCUUAACGACCUAAAGGCGGUGGAAACUGGCAGACUAGAGAGCAGUAGGGGUAGCAGGAAUUCCCAGUGUAGCGGUGAAAUGCGUAGAGAUUGGGAAGAACAUCGGUGGCGAAAGCGUGCUACUGGGCUGUAUCUGACACUCAGGGACGAAAGCUAGGGGAGCGAAAGGGAUUAGAUACCCCUGUAGUCCUAGCCGUAAACGAUGGAUACUAGGCGUGGCUUGUAUCGAC